Molecule: ribosomal RNA, 231 nt
Filed under: uncultured bacterium
Lineage: Bacteria
Description: partial 16S ribosomal RNA
Rfam family: Bacterial small subunit ribosomal RNA
Source: RNAcentral
UCUAGUGGCGCACGGGUGCGUAACGCGUGGGAAUCUGCCCUUGGGUUCGGAACAACACGGGGAAACCUGUGCUAAUACCGGAUAAGUCCUUACGGAGAAAGUUUUAAUGCCAAAAGAUGAGCCCGCAUUUGAUUAGCUAGUUGGUGAGGUAAAAGCUCACCAAGGCGAUAAUCAAUAGCUGAUUUGAGAGGAUGAUCAGCCACACUGGGACUGAGAUACGGCCCAGACUCC